CCUACGGGGUGCACCAGUGGGGAAUAUUGGACAAUGGGCGAAAGCCUGAUCCAGCAAUGCCGCGUGUGUGAAGAAGGUCUUCGGAUUGUAAAGCGCUUUCGACGGGGACGAUGAUGACGGUACCCGUUGAUGAAGCCCCGGCUAACUUCGUGUCAGCAGCCGCGGUAAUACGAAGGGGGCUAGCGUUGCUCGGAAUGACUGGGCGUAAAGGGCGCGUAGGCGGUUUAUGCAGUCAGAUGUGAAAUCCCCGGGCUUAACCUGGGAACUGCAUUUGAGACGCAUAGACUAGAGGUCGAGAGAGGGUUGUGGAAUUCCCAGUGUAGAGGUGAAAUUCGUAGAUAUUGGGAAGAACACCGGUGGCGAAGGCGGCAACCUGGCUCGAUACUGACGCUGAGGCGCGAAAGCGUGGGGAGCAAACAGGAUUAGAUACCCCAGUAGUC
This 440-nucleotide ribosomal RNA is filed under the name uncultured bacterium. RNAcentral describes it as "bacterial SSU rRNA". It matches the Rfam family "Bacterial small subunit ribosomal RNA", at positions 338 to 795 of the family's 1533-position model. The record is from RNAcentral.